RNAcentral lists this ribosomal RNA (253 nucleotides) under uncultured bacterium. RNAcentral's name for it is "partial 16S ribosomal RNA". It matches the Rfam family "Bacterial small subunit ribosomal RNA", at positions 524 to 776 of the family's 1533-position model. The record is from RNAcentral.
UACGGGGGGGGCAAGCGUUGUUCGGAAUUACUGGGCGUAAAGGGCUCGUAGGUGGCCAACUAAGUCAGACGUGAAAUCCCUCGGCUUAACCGGGGAACUGCGUCUGAUACUGGAUGGCUUGAGUUUGGGAGAGGGACGCGGAAUUCCAGGUGUAGCGGUGAAAUGCGUAGAUAUCUGGAGGAACACCGGAGGCGAAGGCGGAUCACUGGACUGCCACUGACGCUGAGGCGCGAAAGCUAGGGGAGCAAACAGG